UAAUAAGACAAUGUCCAGUUAAUAUCCCCAGAAACGAAGAGAGUAGCGAUUUUGUUAGCUUCAAUGGUGACAUAGUCCUACCAAGAGAUUCCGCUGAUGUUGGAGCAGAAAAUAAGAGCUAGAGAACUGAAAAGGUACCCAGAUCAGUUUAUAAGUCUUUUAUAAGGCCUGUCCUGAUUUAAGUCCUUAAAUGUUUUUGAAAAGGAUUCUGCGGAAGAUAUAUGGUCCUUUGCGGACUUGAAACAACAAUAACCUAAGACGGCGCAACGUUGGUGGGCUUGGCUUACUUGGUGUUUCUAAUUCCUUGGUGUUCCAAUCAGCCAAAGAAUCAAAAUUUGACAUAAUUUAUUGACCUUGGCUAAAAUCGCUUAAGGAAAAUGGCAGUGAA
Rhagoletis zephyria (snowberry fruit fly) is the source of this 388-nucleotide long non-coding RNA. RefSeq lists it as uncharacterized. Lineage: Eukaryota; Metazoa; Arthropoda; Insecta; Diptera; Tephritidae. The record is from RefSeq and is a predicted model, not a curated record.